This 427-nucleotide ribosomal RNA is filed under the name uncultured bacterium. Its description in RNAcentral is "partial 16S ribosomal RNA". It matches the Rfam family "Bacterial small subunit ribosomal RNA", at positions 355 to 774 of the family's 1533-position model. The record is from RNAcentral.
UGGGGAAUAUUGCACAAUGGGCGCAAGCCUGAUGCAGCCAUGCCGCGUGUAUGAAGAAGGCCUUCGGGUUGUAAAGUACUUUCAGCGAGGAGGAAGGCAUUGUGGUUAAUAACCGCAGUGAUUGACGUUACUCGCAGAAGAAGCACCGGCUAACUCCGUGCCAGCAGCCGCGGUAAUACGGAGGGUGCAAGCGUUAAUCGGAAUUACUGGGCGUAAAGCGCACGCAGGCGGUCUGUCAAGUCGGAUGUGAAAUCCCCGGGCUCAACCUGGGAACUGCAUCCGAAACUGGCAGGCUAGAGUCUUGUAGAGGGGGGUAGAAUUCCAGGUGUAGCGGUGAAAUGCGUAGAGAUCUGGAGGAAUACCGGUGGCGAAGGCGGCCCCCUGGACAAAGACUGACGCUCAGGUGCGAAAGCGUGGGGAGCAAACA